RNAcentral lists this unclassified non-coding RNA (381 nucleotides) under uncultured Gammaproteobacteria bacterium. RNAcentral's name for it is "contains 16S-23S intergenic spacer region". Lineage: Bacteria; Pseudomonadati; Pseudomonadota; Gammaproteobacteria. The record is from RNAcentral.
UCCGGUUUGUCACCGGCAGUCUCCUUAGAGUGCCCACCAUAACGUGCUGGUAACUAAGGACAAGGGUUGCGCUCGUUACGGGACUUAACCCAACAUCUCACGACACGAGCUGACGACAGCCAUGCAGCACCUGUCUCAAUGUUCCCGAAGGCACCAAUCCAUCUCUGGAAAGUUCAUUGGAUGUCAAGGCCUGGUAAGGUUCUUCGCGUUGCUUCGAAUUAAUCCACAUAAUCCACCGCUUGUGCGGGUCCCCGUCAAUUCCUUUGAGUUUUAGUCUUGCGACCGUACUCCCCAGGCGGAGUGCUUAAUGCGUUAGCUGCGGCACAGAGCGGGUUGAAGACCGCCCCACACCUAGCACCCAUCGUUUACGGCGUGGACUAC